This 246-nucleotide ribosomal RNA is filed under the name uncultured bacterium. RNAcentral's name for it is "partial 16S ribosomal RNA". It matches the Rfam family "Bacterial small subunit ribosomal RNA", at positions 15 to 244 of the family's 1533-position model. The record is from RNAcentral.
GAUCCUGGCUCAGGAUGAACGCUGGCGGCGUGCCUAACACAUGCAAGUCGAACGAGGUAAAUAAGAUGAAGUUUUCGGAUGGAUUCUUAUUUACCGAGUGGCGGACGGGUGAGUAACGCGUGGGUAACCUGCCUCAUACAGGGGGAUAACGGUUAGAAAUGACUGCCAAUACCGCAUAAGCGCACAGUACCACAUGGUACAGUGUGAAAAACUCCGGUGGUAUGAGAUGGACCCGCGUCUGAUUAG